GCCGUUAUGGCGCAGUUGGGAGCGCGUUAGACUGAAGAUCUAAAGGUCCCCAGUUCGAUAGCAGUC
Molecule: transfer RNA, 66 nt
Organism: Salpingoeca sp.
Lineage: Eukaryota; Choanoflagellata; Craspedida; Salpingoecidae
Rfam family: tRNA
About the family: Transfer RNA (tRNA) molecules are approximately 80 nucleotides in length. Their secondary structure includes four short double-helical elements and three loops (D, anti-codon, and T loops). Further hydrogen bonds mediate the characteristic L-shaped molecular structure. tRNAs have two regions of fundamental functional importance: the anti-codon, which is responsible for specific mRNA codon recognition, and the 3' end, to which the tRNAs corresponding amino acid is attached (by aminoacyl-tRNA synthetases). tRNAs cope with the degeneracy of the genetic code in two manners: having more than one tRNA (with a specific anti-codon) for a particular amino acid; and 'wobble' base-pairing, i.e. permitting non-standard base-pairing at the 3rd anti-codon position.
Source: Rfam